GAGUUUGAUCCUGGCUCAGGAUGAACGCUGGCGGCGUGCCUAAUACAUGCAAGUCGAGCGAACGGACGAGAAGCUUGCUUCUCUGAUGUUAGCGGCGGACGGGUGAGUAACACGUGGAUAACCUACCUAUAAGACUGGGAUAACUUCGGGAAACCGGAGCUAAUACCGGAUAAUAUUUUGAACCGCAUGGUUCAAAAGUGAAAGACGGUCUUGCUGUCACUUAUAGAUGGAUCCGCGCUGCAUUAGCUAGUUGGUAAGGUAACGGCUUACCAAGGCAACGAUGCAUAGCCGACCUGAGAGGGUGAUCGGCCACACUGGAACUGAGACACGGUCCAGACUCCUACGGGAGGCAGCAGUAGGGAAUCUUCCGCAAUGGGCGAAAGCCUGACGGAGCAACGCCGCGUGAGUGAUGAAGGUCUUCGGAUCGUAAAACUCUGUUAUUAGGGAAGAACAUAUGUGUAAGUAACUGUGCACAUCUUGACGGUACCUAAUCAGAAAGCCACGGCUAACUACGUGCCAGCAGCCGCGGUAAUACGUAGGUGGCAAGCGUUAUCCGGAAUUAUUGGGCGUAAAGCGCGCGUAGGCGGUUUUUUAAGUCUGAUGUGAAAGCCCACGGCUCAACCGUGGAGGGUCAUUGGAAACUGGAAAACUUGAGUGCAGAAGAGGAAAGUGGAAUUCCAUGUGUAGCGGUGAAAUGCGCAGAGAUAUGGAGGAACACCAGUGGCGAAGGCGACUUUCUGGUCUGUAACUGACGCUGAUGUGCGAAAGCGUGGGGAUCAAACAGGAUUAGAUACCCUGGUAGUCCACGCCGUAAACGAUGAGUGCUAAGUGUUAGGGGGUUUCCGCCCCUUAGUGCUGCAGCUAACGCAUUAAGCACUCCGCCUGGGGAGUACGACCGCAAGGUUGAAACUCAAAGGAAUUGACGGGGACCCGCACAAGCGGUGGAGCAUGUGGUUUAAUUCGAAGCAACGCGAAGAACCUUACCAAAUCUUGACAUCCUUUGACAACUCUAGAGAUAGAGCCUUCCCCUUCGGGGGACAAAGUGACAGGUGGUGCAUGGUUGUCGUCAGCUCGUGUCGUGAGAUGUUGGGUUAAGUCCCGCAACGAGCGCAACCCUUAAGCUUAGUUGCCAUCAUUAAGUUGGGCACUCUAAGUUGACUGCCGGUGACAAACCGGAGGAAGGUGGGGAUGACGUCAAAUCAUCAUGCCCCUUAUGAUUUGGGCUACACACGUGCUAACAAUGGACAAUACAAAGGGUAGCGAAACCGUGAGGUCAAGCAAAUCCCAUAAAGUUGUUCUCAGUUCGGAUUGUAGUCUGCAACUCGACUACAUGAAGCUGGAAUCGCUAGUAAUCGUAGAUCAGCAUGCUACGGUGAAUACGUUCCCGGGUCUUGUACACACCGCCCGUCACACCACGAGAGUUUGUAACACCCGAAGCCGGUGGAGUAACCUUUUAGGAGCUAGCCGUCGAAGGUGGGACAAAUGAUUGGGGUGAAGUCGUAACAAGGUAGCCGUAUCGGAAGGUGCGGCUGGAUCACC
This 1539-nucleotide ribosomal RNA is filed under the name Staphylococcus aureus subsp. aureus CIG1524. Its description in RNAcentral is "16S ribosomal RNA". It matches the Rfam family "Bacterial small subunit ribosomal RNA". The record is from RNAcentral. Lineage: Bacteria; Bacillati; Bacillota; Bacilli; Caryophanales; Staphylococcaceae.